RNAcentral lists this ribosomal RNA (252 nucleotides) under uncultured bacterium. Its description in RNAcentral is "partial 16S ribosomal RNA". It matches the Rfam family "Bacterial small subunit ribosomal RNA", at positions 524 to 776 of the family's 1533-position model. The record is from RNAcentral.
UACGGAGGAUGCGAGUGUUAUCCGGAUUUAUUGGGUUUAAAGGGUGCGUAGGCGGAGUGCCAAGUCAGCGGUAAAAAUUCGGGGCUCAACCCCGUCGUGCCGUUGAAACUGGCGCCCUUGAGUGGGCGAGAAGUAUGCGGAAUGCGUGGUGUAGCGGUGAAAUGCAUAGAUAUCACGCAGAACCCCGAUUGCGAAGGCAGCAUACCGGCGCCCGACUGGCGCUGAAGCACGAAAGCGUGGGUAUCGAACAGG